UAACGCGUGGGUAACCUGCCUUAUACAGGGGGAGUAACAAGUCAGAAAUGGCUGCUAAUACCGCAUAAGCGCACAGAGCUGCAUGGCUCAGUGUGAAAAACUCCGGUGGUAUAAGAUGGACCCGCGUUGGAUUAGCUAGUUGGUGAGGUAACGGCCUACCAAGGCGGCGAUCCAUAGCCGGCCUGAGAGGGUGAACGGCCACAUUGGGACUGAGACACGGCCCAGACUCCUACGGGAGGCAGCAUG
Molecule: ribosomal RNA, 246 nt
Filed under: uncultured bacterium
Lineage: Bacteria
Description: partial 16S ribosomal RNA
Rfam family: Bacterial small subunit ribosomal RNA
Source: RNAcentral